UACGAAGGGGGCUAGCGUUGUUCGGAAUUACUGGGCGUAAAGCGCGCGCAGGCGGCUAUCCAAGUCAGUGGUGAAAGCCCGGAGCUCAACUCCGGAACUGCCAUUGAAACUGUUUAGCUUGAGGACGAGAGAGGUGAGUGGAAUUCCCAGUGUAGAGGUGAAAUUCGUAGAUAUUGGGAAGAACACCAGUGGCGAAGGCGGCUUACUGGUCCGGUUCUGACGCUGAGGCGCGAAAGCGUGGGGAGCAAACAGG
RNAcentral lists this ribosomal RNA (253 nucleotides) under uncultured bacterium. Its description in RNAcentral is "partial 16S ribosomal RNA". It matches the Rfam family "Bacterial small subunit ribosomal RNA", at positions 524 to 776 of the family's 1533-position model. The record is from RNAcentral.